This 467-nucleotide ribosomal RNA is filed under the name uncultured bacterium. RNAcentral's name for it is "partial 16S ribosomal RNA". It matches the Rfam family "Bacterial small subunit ribosomal RNA", at positions 28 to 507 of the family's 1533-position model. The record is from RNAcentral.
GAUGAACGCUGGCGGCGUGCUUAACACAUGCAAGUCGAACGAUGAAGCCAAGUUGGCUGGGGGGUUUAGUGGCAAACGGGUGAGUAACACGUGAGAAACAAGCCCCUGAUCCUGGGUUAAGCGCUGGAAACGGCGCCUAAUACUGAAAAGGUCCCGUCCCGGCAGGGGGUGCGGGUGGAAGGAUUUUCCGGUUGGGGAUGGGCUCGCGGCCUAUCAGCUUGUUGGUGAGGUAAUGGCUCACCAAGGCGUCGACGGGUAGCCGGCCUGAGAGGGUGACCGGCCACACUGGGACUGAGACACGGCCCAGACUCCUACGGGAGGCAGCAGUGGGGAAUAUUGCACAAUGGGCGGAAGCCUGAUGCAGCAACGCCGCGUGAGGGAUGACGGCCUUCGGGUUGUAAACCUCUUUUAGCAGGGAAGAAGCGAAAGUGACGGUACCUGCAGAAAAAGCACCGGCUAACUACGUG